AGGUGGUUAGUUUAAAGGUAAAACCUUGUUUUUACACAGCAAAGUUCUCAGUUCAAUUCUGGGACCACCUA
Molecule: non-coding RNA, 71 nt
Organism: Paramicrosporidium saccamoebae
Lineage: Eukaryota; Fungi; Rozellomycota
Source: the annotation of a GenBank genome assembly